UUUUAGGGAUGGGCCCGCGGCGCAUUAACUAGUUGGUGAGGUAAAGGCUCACCAAGGCAACGAUGCGUAACCGACCUGAGAGGGUGAUCGGCCACACUGGGACUGAGACACGGCCCAGACUCCUACGGGAGGCAGCAGUAGGGAAUCUUCCGCAAUGGACGAAAGUCUGACGGAGCAACGCCGCGUGAGCGAAGAAGGUCUUCGGAUCGUAAAGCUCUGUUGUUAGGGAAGAACAAGUACCGGAGUAACUGUCGGUACCUUGACGGUACCUAACCAGAAAGCCACGGCUAACUACGUGCCAGCAGCCG
RNAcentral lists this ribosomal RNA (308 nucleotides) under uncultured bacterium. RNAcentral's name for it is "bacterial SSU rRNA". It matches the Rfam family "Bacterial small subunit ribosomal RNA", at positions 217 to 517 of the family's 1533-position model. The record is from RNAcentral.